RNAcentral lists this ribosomal RNA (912 nucleotides) under Triticum aestivum (bread wheat). RNAcentral describes it as "partial small subunit ribosomal RNA". The record is from RNAcentral. Lineage: Eukaryota; Viridiplantae; Streptophyta; Magnoliopsida; Poales; Poaceae.
AUGUUCAAGAUGAGUGAUUUGGGUUUACUAUCAUAUUAUCUGGGCAUUGAGAUGGCUCAAACAGUGAAUGGAAUUCCGCAAGGUCAAACAGGGUAUGCUCUGAAUUUUUUGGAGAAGACAGGCAUGACCGACUGCAAUUCAUGUCAAAUACCAAUGGAGCCAUGUGUGAAACUCUUCAAGUCAGAUGAAGGUGAAAAGGUAGAUGCUACUUAGUACCGCAUUAAUGUUGGUAGUUUGAGAUACUUGGUGAAAACUAGACCAGAUCUUGCAUUCUCUGGUGGCAUUGUGAGUAGGUUCAUGGAGUGCCCUAUAAUGCAUCACUUGGAAGCAGUAAAGCAAGUUCUGAGGUAUGUCAAGGGUUCUGUAAAUCUAGGCUGCCAUUAUGGAAGGAAGGAGAAUGCAACUACCAAACUAAUAGGCUACAGUGACAGUGAUUUGGCUGGGGAUAUCAAUGAUAGAAAGAGCACAACCGGAGUAGUGUUCUUCAUAUGUUCCAAUAUAGUGAGUUGGAUCUCUCACAAGCAAAAGGUAGUAGCAGGGUCUUCAUGUGAAGUAGAAUACAUUGCUUCUGCUACUGCAGCUUGUCAAGGCAUUUGGCUUAGCAGAUUGCUAGCUCAGUUGAAAUUUGAAGAACAAGAACAAUUUAUGCUCAGGGUGGAUAAUAAACCAGCAAUAGCACUUAGCAGAAACCCUAUCCACCAUGAUAGAAGCAAGCAUAUCAAUAUAAAAUAUCAUUUCAUCAGAGAUUGCAUGGAGGAUAAGAAGAUCUGUGUUGAACAUGUCAGGACAAAGGAUUAGCUGGCUGACAUGUUGACAAAGUCGCUGGCUCGCCCAAAGUUCAUGGAGAUGCGAGACAAGAUUGGUCUCCGACCAGUAAGAUCAAGUGUACAAGAUCAAGGGGGAGAAUGUUAG